GCCGGUGUAGCUCAGUAGGUAGAGCAACUGACUUGUAAUCAGUAGGUCGCGGGUUCAAUUCCUGUCGCCGGCU
The sequence is a transfer RNA, 73 nucleotides long. It matches the Rfam family "tRNA". Rfam says of the family: Transfer RNA (tRNA) molecules are approximately 80 nucleotides in length. Their secondary structure includes four short double-helical elements and three loops (D, anti-codon, and T loops). The record is from Rfam.